This 422-nucleotide ribosomal RNA is filed under the name uncultured bacterium. RNAcentral's name for it is "bacterial SSU rRNA". It matches the Rfam family "Bacterial small subunit ribosomal RNA", at positions 355 to 774 of the family's 1533-position model. The record is from RNAcentral.
UGAGGAAUAUUGGUCAAUGGACGAGAGUCUGAACCAGCCAAAUCGCGUGAAGGAAGACUGCCCUACGGGUUGUAAACUUCUUUUGUACAGGAAUAAAAGACAUUACGUGUAAUGUAUUGCAUGUACUGUACGAAUAAGCAUCGGCUAACUCCGUGCCAGCAGCCGCGGUAAUACGGAGGAUGCGAGCGUUAUCCGGCUUUAUUGGGUUUAAAGGGUGCGCAGGCGGGAUUUUAAGUCAGCGGUGAAAUUUUCAGGCUCAACCUGAACACUGCCGUUGGAACUGGGAUUCUUGAGUAUGGAUGAAGUAGGCGGAAUUCGUUGUGUAGCGGCGACAUGCUUAGAUAUAACGAGGAACUCCGAUUGCGUAGGCAGCUUACUAAGCCAUAACUGACGCUCAAGCACGAAAGCGUGGGGAUCAAACA